This 1017-nucleotide ribosomal RNA is filed under the name Salmonella enterica subsp. enterica serovar Kentucky. RNAcentral's name for it is "partial 23S ribosomal RNA". It matches the Rfam family "Bacterial large subunit ribosomal RNA", at positions 582 to 1602 of the family's 2925-position model. Lineage: Bacteria; Pseudomonadati; Pseudomonadota; Gammaproteobacteria; Enterobacterales; Enterobacteriaceae. The record is from RNAcentral.
UUUGGGGUGGGGUGACUGCGUACCUUUUGUAUAAUGGGUCAGCGACUUAUAUUCUGUAGCAAGGUUAACCGUAUAGGGGAGCCGAAGGGAAACCGAGUCUUAACUGGGCGUUAAGUUGCAGGGUAUAGACCCGAAACCCGGUGAUCUAGCCAUGGGCAGGUUGAAGGUUGGGUAACACUAACUGGAGGACCGAACCGACUAAUGUUGAAAAAUUAGCGGAUGACUUGUGGCUGGGGGUGAAAGGCCAAUCAAACCGGGAGAUAGCUGGUUCUCCCCGAAAGCUAUUUAGGUAGCGCCUCGUGAACUCAUCUUCGGGGGUAGAGCACUGUUUCGGCUAGGGGGUCAUCCCGACUUACCAACCCGAUGCAAACUGCGAAUACCGAAGAAUGUUAUCACGGGAGACACACGGCGGGUGCUAACGUCCGUCGUGAAGAGGGAAACAACCCAGACCGCCAGCUAAGGUCCCAAAGUCACAGUUAAGUGGGAAACGAUGUGGGAAGGCUCAGACAGCCAGGAUGUUGGCUUAGAAGCAGCCAUCAUUUAAAGAAAGCGUAAUAGCUCACUGGUCGAGUCGGCCUGCGCGGAAGAUGUAACGGGGCUAAACUGUGCACCGAAGCUGCGGCAGCGACGCUUAUGCGUUGUUGGGUAGGGGAGCGUUCUGUAAGCCUGCGAAGGUGUCCUGUGAGGGAUGCUGGAGGUAUCAGAAGUGCGAAUGCUGACAUAAGUAACGAUAAUGCGGGUGAAAAGCCCGCUCGCCGGAAGACCAAGGGUUCCUGUCCAACGUUAAUCGGGGCAGGGUGAGUCGACCCCUAAGGCGAGGCCGAAAGGCGUAGUCGAUGGGAAACGGGUUAAUAUUCCCGUACUUGGUGUUACUGCGAAGGGGGGACGGAGAAGGCUAUGUUGGCCGGGCGACGGUUGUCCCGGUUUAAGCGUGUAGGCUGGUUUUCCAGGCAAAUCCGGAAAAUCAAGGCUGAGGCGUGAUGACGAGGCACUACGGUGCUGAAGCAACAAAUGCCC